GGAAUUUUCCGCAAUGGGCGAAAGCCUGACGGAGCAACGCCGCGUGAGGGAUGAAGGCCUCUGGGCUGUAAACCUCUUUUAUCAAGGAAGAAGAUCUGACGGUACUUGAUGAAUAAGCCACGGCUAAUUCCGUGCCAGCAGCCGCGGUAAUACGGGAGUGGCAAGCGUUAUCCGGAAUUAUUGGGCGCAAAGCGUCCGCAGGCGGUCUGUCAAGUCUGCUGUUAAAGCGUGGAGCUUAACUCCAUUUCGGCAGUGGAAACUGACAGACUAGAGUGUGGUAGGGGCAGAGGGAAUUCCCGGUGUAGCGGUGAAAUGCGUAGAUAUCGGGAAGAACACCAGUGGCGAAGGCGCUCUGCUGGGCCAUAACUGACGCUCAUGGACGAAAGCCAGGGGAGCGAAAGGGAUUAGAUACCCCUGUAGUC
Molecule: ribosomal RNA, 422 nt
Filed under: uncultured cyanobacterium
Lineage: Bacteria; Bacillati; Cyanobacteriota
Description: bacterial SSU rRNA
Rfam family: Bacterial small subunit ribosomal RNA
Source: RNAcentral